UAAUAAACAGGGGCGGACUCUGUGUCAAAACGACCAGAGUAUUGAGGACAAUCAGGCACAUAAUUACAUAUCAUAUGAUAAUAUGUAAUUUUUUACACGACGCACAGAUGACCCAUUUAUAAGAGAAUAUUAUAAAACCUUUAACAAUUUAAUACAUAAUGGCAUCUAUGUGGCCGUUUCAGUGACCCAUACAGACAAGUUCACGUAGAGGCCCACAGGGCAUUUGCCUUAAUGCCCCAUAUAGCCAGUCCCCCUCUGUCAAAAAAGUACAAAAUUAAAAAAAUUAGCAAGGUAAGCUAGAUGAUCUACGUAAAAAAAAUUGACAUGUCUU
Molecule: non-coding RNA, 331 nt
Organism: Biomphalaria pfeifferi
Lineage: Eukaryota; Metazoa; Mollusca; Gastropoda; Planorbidae
Source: the annotation of a GenBank genome assembly